AGAGUUUGAUCAUGGCUCAGAACGAACGCUGGCGGCAUGCUUAACACAUGCAAGUCGAACGAAUAAGAGCCCUAGCAAUAGGGAGUUCUGUUAGUGGCAUACGGGUGAGUAACGCGUGGGAAUCUGCCUAAUAGUACGGAAUAACAAUUGGAAACGAUUGCUAAUACCGUAUAUUCUCUCCGGAGGAAAGAUUUAUCGCU
RNAcentral lists this ribosomal RNA (200 nucleotides) under uncultured bacterium. RNAcentral's name for it is "partial 16S ribosomal RNA". It matches the Rfam family "Bacterial small subunit ribosomal RNA", at positions 8 to 219 of the family's 1533-position model. The record is from RNAcentral.